Molecule: ribosomal RNA, 774 nt
Filed under: uncultured Neocallimastigales
Lineage: Eukaryota; Fungi; Neocallimastigomycota; Neocallimastigomycetes; Neocallimastigales
Description: partial large subunit ribosomal RNA
Rfam family: Eukaryotic large subunit ribosomal RNA
Source: RNAcentral
UAUGUGAUCGUCUCUCGCAUAUCAAUAAGCGGAGGAAAAGAAACUAACAAGGAUUCCCCUAGUAACGGCGAGUGAAGCGGGAAGAGCUCAAAUUUGAAAUCUUAAAGGGUUUCCCUUUACGAAUUGUAGUUUAAAGAAGUGUUUUCUGUUGAGGUUUUGGUAAAAGUUCUUUGGAAUAGGACAUCAUAGAGGGUGAGAAUCCCGUAUUUGACCUUUACUUUCAACUUUGUGAUACACUUUCAAAGAGUCGGAUUGUUUGGGAAUGCAGUCCAAAAUGGGUGGUAAAUUUCAUCUAAAGCUAAAUAUUGGCGAGAGACCGAUAGCGAACAAGUACCGUGAGGGAAAGAUGAAAAGAACUUUGAAAAGAGAGUUAAACAGUACGUGAAAUUGUCAAAAGGGAAGCGUUUGACACCAGUGUUGUUUUUCUGAAAAUUAAUUAAAGAACUGUUUAUGCUAAGCUGUUUAGACUUUAUCAGCUAUCUGUUUAGUUUUGAGCUUUUCUUUAAUGCACUUUUCAGUUAACAAGUCAACAUCAAUUUCUUUUGCUGUAAAAAAGCUUGAGGAAGGUGGCUUGAGAUUCGUCUUAAGUGUUUAUAGCCUCUUGCCUAUGCAGUCGGAGAGAUUGAGGUCUGCAGCGUAGAUCCUUCGGGGCUAAAUGCAUUUGUGCUAAGUUAUAGCAUUUUAUAGACAACUUGUUGACUAUGAUUUGUCUUGUAGCUUACUCGCUUAUGUUAUUUUACCUACGCUUAGGAUGUUGACACACGCGCGUGCUCG